GAGACUACACGUCAUAAGAAAUAUUGAAACAAUUAUUUUUCAUAAAUAAACUUAAAACUUGAUUUUGUCAAAACGUAAUAAUUCUAUACAUAUGUAUAUAUAUUUUCUACGUUGAAUGUUGGUUAGCGAAAUCAAUCAAUCAAAGAAGAAAAUGCUGUAGCAUUGGCCAAUUUCACAGGACAAAAAGUGUACACGUGUUGUUGCGUAAUGGCAUCAUUACAAACUAUUUUGACGUUUUGGAACUCACAAUUUUUAAAAAAGCACCUACGCACCUAUACGUUAUACACGUUGGCUCUGAAAAUUAUCGAAACCAGACAAUUGCAUCAUAUGGCUCUCAUACUGCGUUUUGUUCAGAUCAAAAAAGCAUAGAAGGCCAUAACAUUGAAUACUGCACAUUCGCAUCUACAAAUAAACUUUGUCACCUAAAAUCAUCUAGAUCAGAGGACCAUUUCUUAUAGCCCCCAUGGAAUCGAUUUAUUAAGAUAUGAAGUUUCGGGUCAUAUAUAUGCGCCAAAAAAGCUUCUAGGGACAUGAAAUUGGGAUAUUAUAUUACUUAUUGGACACUCUUUCCUUUUCAGCCGUUGGCACCGUCAUGCAAACAGGGAAAAUAUGCCUAAAUUUUAUGGCAACAGAUUGGAAAGAGGUGAAACGAAGUUCAAGUGCGCAUCAUCUGGAGCUACCCAUCGUAGUGCUCAAAAAUUACAGACACACACUAAAACCAUUUGUUGAGAGUGCCAAAUGCAGCUUUGUAAAAUGUACUUUGCACCAUAUCAUUCAUAAAUUUUAUGUAAGAUAGAUCUUCUACUUCUUCAACAAUAUUAAAAAAUAAUAAUAUAUGAUUUAUGAAAUGUGUAACGA
Molecule: long non-coding RNA, 858 nt
Organism: Ceratitis capitata (Mediterranean fruit fly)
Lineage: Eukaryota; Metazoa; Arthropoda; Insecta; Diptera; Tephritidae
Exons: 3
Source: RefSeq, a predicted model, not a curated record